This 466-nucleotide long non-coding RNA is filed under the name Lonchura striata (white-rumped munia). RNAcentral describes it as "domestica (Bengalese finch) lncRNA (ENSLSDG00000010777.1)". The record is from RNAcentral. Lineage: Eukaryota; Metazoa; Chordata; Aves; Passeriformes; Estrildidae.
CUGUGAAAGGGGCUGUCCCCUGCGCUGUAUUUUUCUUCCUCCGAGUGUCUCAAAAGGCAGCGUCAGCAAGACUUUCCUCCUUCUAUUUCAUAGAAUUGCUCCUAUUUUCACCUCUUUUUAUAUCCACAGAUAUCCAGCAACAGAAAGGAUGGGCAGUAGGUACCUUUACUACCUUGGAAGCAGUGUGGAAACAGGGCAAUAUAAGAGAUUCACAAAACAAGGAGACAAGGAUGCCAAAUAAAAGGAGGGUGAAGGUACAGGACAUACAGCAUCAAAGUAAAAUGCUAACUAGACCCAGAAAACCAGCAUGACUGGAUUCUCAAAGCUCUACUUAAAACAGUCAACUGUUCUCCAGUUUCUGCUUUUAUUGACUAGACUGUUUCUCUCUGAACAGUAUGAGAAAGAUGUUUUAGAACUAGGAAUUCAGGAAAAUAAACAAAUAAUCUGAUACUAUUGGAAUGCUUUU